This 1989-nucleotide ribosomal RNA is filed under the name human gut metagenome. Its description in RNAcentral is "bacterial LSU rRNA". It matches the Rfam family "Bacterial large subunit ribosomal RNA", at positions 831 to 2841 of the family's 2925-position model. The record is from RNAcentral.
AAUCGAACUCGGAGAUAGCUGGUUCUCCCCGAAAUAGCUUUAGGGCUAGCCUCAUAUUAGAUACCCGGAGGUAAAGCACUGAAUGGCCUAGCGCCCGAGAGGGUAGCGAAGCCUAUCAAACUAAGAAUGCCGGAGUAUUGAUGUAUGGGAGUCAGACAGUGUGAGAUAAAUCUCAUUGUCAAAAGGGAAACAGCCCAGAUCUACAGCUAAGGUCCCAAAUUGUAUCUAAGUGGAAAACGAUGUGGAAAUACGCAGACAACCAGGAUGUUGGCUCAGAAGCAGCCACUCAUUUAAAGAGUGCGUAAUAGCUCACUAGUCGAGAAAACCUGCGCCGAAAAUGUAACGGGGCUAAAACACGACACCGAAGCUACGGAUUUCCUACAAGGUAGGAAGUGGUAGAGGAGCAUCCUGCAAGGACGAAGCCAAAGUGAGAGCGAUGGUGGACGAAACAGGAGAGAGAAUGCCGGAAUGAGUAGCGAGAUACAUGUGAGAAACAUGUAGGCCGAAUAUCUAAGGAUUCCUGGGUAAAGCUAAUCUUCCCAGGGUUAGUCGGGGCCUAAGGCGAGGACGAAAGUCGUAGUCGAUGGAUAACAGGUUGAUAUUCCUGUACUACACAUAAUCAGAACUGUGGGGACGCAGGAGGAUAGGGAAACCGGGGAAUGGAGAGACCCGGUCAAGCGUAAAGCUGUGGGAGAUAGGCAAAUCCGUCUCUUGUAAGUGAAACGUGAUGAGGACUGAAAAAAAGUAAGGAAGUUUCCGAAUCCACACUGCCGAGAAAAGCCGCUAUUGUUUUAUAUGUGCCCGUACCGUAAACCGACACAGGUGGAUGAGGAGAGAAUCCUAAGGCCGGCGGAAGAAGCAUUGUUAAGGAACUCGGCAAAAUGACCCCGUAACUUCGGGAGAAGGGGUGCCUGCGAGAGCAGGCCGCAGAGAAUAGGCUCAAGCAACUGUUUAGCAAAAACACAGGUCUAUGCGAAACCGAAAGGUGAGGUAUAUGGGCUGACGCCUGCCCGGUGCUGGAAGGUUACGAGGAGAGGUUAGAGCAAUCGAAGCUUUGAAUCUAAGCCCCAGUAAACGGCGGCCGUAACUAUAACGGUCCUAAGGUAGCGAAAUUCCUUGUCGGGUAAGUUCCGACCCGCACGAAAGGCGUAAUGAUUUGAGCGCUGUCUCGACAAUGCACCCGGUGAAAUUGAAAUACCAGUGAAGAUGCUGGUUACCUGCGCCAGGACGGAAAGACCCCAUGGAGCUUUACUCCAGCUUGAUACUGGGAUUCGGUACUGCAUGUACAGGAUAGGUGGGAGACUGAGAACUAUGAACGCCAGUUUGUAGGGAGUCGCUGUUGGGAUACCACCCUUGCGGUAUUGGAUUUCUAACCUGCAGCCGUGAACCGGCUGGGGGACAAUGUCAGGCGGGGAGUUUGACUGGGGCGGUCGCCUCCGAAAGGGUAUCGGAGGCGCUCAAAGGUUCCCUCAGAAUGGUUGGAAACCAUUCGAAGAGUGCAAAGGCAGAAGGGAGCUUGACUGCGACACCGACGGGUGGAGCAGGUACGAAAGUAGGACUUAGUGAUCCGGUGGUAUGAAAGUGGGAUUGCCAUCGCUCAACGGAUAAAAGCUACCCUGGGGAUAACAGGCUUAUCACUCCCAAGAGUUCACAUCGACGGAGUGGUUUGGCACCUCGAUGUCGGCUCAUCGCAUCCUGGGGCUGUAGUAGGUCCCAAGGGUUGGGCUGUUCGCCCAUUAAAGCGGUACGCGAGCUGGGUUCAGAACGUCGUGAGACAGUUCGGUCCCUAUCCGGCGUGGGCGUAGGAUAUUUGAGAGGAGCUGUCCUUAGUACGAGAGGACCGGGAUGGACGGGCCGCUGGUGUACCUGUUGGAGUGCCAACUCCAUGGCAGGGUAGCCAAGCCCGGACGGGAUAAACGCUGAAGGCAUCUAAGCGUGAAGCCCCCCUCAAGAUGAGAUAUCCCAUACGCAAGUAGUAAGACCCCUUGA